This is a small nucleolar RNA of Hibiscus syriacus, 104 nucleotides long. RefSeq annotates it as small nucleolar RNA R64/Z200 family. The record is from RefSeq and is a predicted model, not a curated record. The transcript has a single exon. Lineage: Eukaryota; Viridiplantae; Streptophyta; Magnoliopsida; Malvales; Malvaceae.
CUUCUGCUGUGACGAAUUAUGAAUAAAAUUCACAUGUCAGACUUAAGAGAUUUUUUUAAAAAAAAAAAUCUAUGAGAAGAAAAUUCAUGCUUUCCGAGCAGAGU